RNAcentral lists this ribosomal RNA (484 nucleotides) under uncultured bacterium. RNAcentral describes it as "partial 16S ribosomal RNA". It matches the Rfam family "Bacterial small subunit ribosomal RNA", at positions 29 to 507 of the family's 1533-position model. The record is from RNAcentral.
AUUGAACGCUGGCGGCAGGCCUAACACAUGCAAGUCGAGCGGCAGCAGGGAGAGUGCUCCCGGUUUCAGCGGCGGACGGGCGAGUAAUGCCUAGGAAUCUGCCUGGUAGUUGGGGAUAACGUGCGGAAACGGGCGCUAAUACCGCAUACGUCCUGAGGAAGAAAGGGGGGGAGCUUCGGACCUCACGCCAUCAGAUGAGCCCAUGUCGGAUUAGCUAGUUGGUGGGGUAAAGGCCCACCAAGGCGACGAUCCGUAACUGGGCUGAGAGGAUGAGCAGGCACACUUGGACUGAGACAAGGGCCCGAAUCCUAAGGGAGGGAGCAGUGGGGAAUUUUGGAACAUGGGCGCAAGCCUGAUCCAGGCAAUGCGCGGUGGGGAAGGAGGCCCUUGGGUUGUAAAAGCCUUUUGUGGGGAAAGAAAAGCAGUAGGUUAAUACCUUGCUGUUUUGACGGUACCAAAAGAAUAAGCACCGGCUAACUUCGUG